Molecule: long non-coding RNA, 243 nt
Filed under: Salvia miltiorrhiza (redroot sage)
Lineage: Eukaryota; Viridiplantae; Streptophyta; Magnoliopsida; Lamiales; Lamiaceae
Description: long non-coding RNA (SMIL_LNC003203)
Source: RNAcentral
GUUUCGCAUGAAGGUAACAAGGAUUUGUCCGCUCUUGGCCCGGACAAUAUUGCUAGUCGCAUUAGUCAGUUAGAAGAGCAGGUUAGUCAGGGGAUGAAAAUGCUCUCGGACAAGACGACUAAGCGAGGACGUGGCCGCCCAAAGGGCACGGGAAAGGGCAUGGGAAGGGAGCCGAUGCAAGCGGUUCCGGAAGAUAGCAUAAAAGGUCGUCUCAGAAAUGCGGGGGAAAUGGGCUACAAGCCG